AGGAUAAACGCUGGCGGCGUGCCUAAUACAUGCAAGUCGAGCGGCAGCGCGGUCUUCGGACUGGCGGCGAGCGGCGGACGGCUGAGUAACACGUAGGAACGUACCCCAAAGUGAGGGAUAAGCACCAGAAAUGGUGUCUAAUACCGCAUGUGCUCUAAGGAGUAAAGCUUCGGCGCUUUGGGAACGGCCUACGCAUGAUUAGCUUGUUGGUGAGGUAAUGGCUCACCAAGGCGACGAUCAUUAGCUGGUCUGAGAGGAUGAUCAGCCAGACUGGGACUGAGAACGGCCCAGACUCCUACGGGAGGCAGCAGUAGGGAAUUUUCCACAAUGGGCGAAAGCCUGAUGGAGCAACGCCGCGUGCAGGAUGAAGGCCUUAGGGUUGUAAACUGUCUUUUAUGUGUGACGAAUAUGACGGUAGCAUAUGAAUAAGGAUCGGCUAACUCCGUGCCAGCAGCCGCGGU
This 461-nucleotide ribosomal RNA is filed under the name uncultured bacterium. RNAcentral describes it as "SSU rRNA". It matches the Rfam family "Bacterial small subunit ribosomal RNA", at positions 26 to 521 of the family's 1533-position model. The record is from RNAcentral.